UACGAAGGGGGCUAGCGUUGCUCGGAAUCACUGGGCGUAAAGCGCACGUAGGCGGAUUGCUAAGUCAGGGGUGAAAUCCUGGAGCUCAACUCCAGAACUGCCUUUGAUACUGGCGACCUUGAGUCCGGGAGAGGUGAGUGGAAUUCUUGGUGUAGCAGUGAAAUGCGUAGAUAUCAAGAGGAACACCAGUGGCGAAGGCGAGUCCCUGGACAACACCUGACACUGAGGCACGAAAGCCGGGGGAGCAAACAGG
RNAcentral lists this ribosomal RNA (253 nucleotides) under uncultured bacterium. RNAcentral's name for it is "partial 16S ribosomal RNA". It matches the Rfam family "Bacterial small subunit ribosomal RNA", at positions 524 to 776 of the family's 1533-position model. The record is from RNAcentral.